RNAcentral lists this long non-coding RNA (255 nucleotides) under Lathyrus oleraceus (garden pea). Its description in RNAcentral is "Pisum sativum (pea) long non-coding RNA (PSAT_LNC024074)". Lineage: Eukaryota; Viridiplantae; Streptophyta; Magnoliopsida; Fabales; Fabaceae. The record is from RNAcentral.
UCGUGUCUUGAAUUUACCAAAUGAUGAAACUCUGGUGAGAGACCACCGGAGAAGACGAUCAGAGUUUUCCUCAAGUGGUCUCUGUUUGAACCAGACACGUUGGUAAAUUGAAAUGUUUUGAUUGGUUGAAUUUAAACUGGAUCAUGUAUUUGGUUUGUAGCGUGUUCCAGCAUGCGUCCUAAUCUUUGGAGUGUUGGAUCUUCCACGUCAAUUAAUGAGGCGCGAUCCAACGCUCAGUGUUUUUUUUUAUUCUUU